This 197-nucleotide ribosomal RNA is filed under the name Umimayanthus chanpuru. RNAcentral describes it as "5.8S ribosomal RNA". The stretch from base 12 to 165 matches the Rfam family "5.8S ribosomal RNA". Rfam says of the family: 5.8S ribosomal RNA (5.8S rRNA) is a component of the large subunit of the eukaryotic ribosome. It is transcribed by RNA polymerase I as part of the 45S precursor that also contains 18S and 28S rRNA. Functionally, it is thought that 5.8S rRNA may be involved in ribosome translocation. The record is from RNAcentral. Lineage: Eukaryota; Metazoa; Cnidaria; Anthozoa; Zoantharia; Parazoanthidae.
GAAAAAGAGACAACUUUUAACGGUGGAUCUCUUGGCUCGUGCAUCGAUGAAAAACGCAGCCAGGUGCGAUAAGUAGUGUGAAUUGCAAAAUUCAGUGAAUCAUCGAAUCUUUGAACGCAAAUGGCGCUCUUGGGUUCUCCCAGGAGCAUGUCUGUCUGAGUGUCGGUUUCCAAACCAUCGCGCGCCGCCGUCGCCCU